ACAAACGCGCGGAUGAAAGAAAGUACCCCCGCCCCGCCUUGCCAGAGAAGCGGCGUCACCGGCUGCAAGCGCCGCCCUGGGCAGCGGGGGGAAGUUCCUUUCGGAGCGGCGGCGCUGAACGGCUACAUCGCAAAGCCAACUAGGCGCCGACGGCAGGCCCCGUUACAGGCCGCAAAGAGGGCAGGCUGUCCCACGCCGUGGGGCGCCCUGCUGAAUUUGGGUGGUACCGCGAAGAAGUCACUUCGCCCCUUUU
This 253-nucleotide non-coding RNA is filed under the name Bacillota bacterium. RNAcentral's name for it is "Firmicutes bacterium T-box sequence". It matches the Rfam family "T-box leader". From Rfam's summary of the family: Uncharged tRNA acts as the effector for transcription antitermination of genes in the T-box leader family. Lineage: Bacteria; Bacillati; Bacillota. The record is from RNAcentral.